GGCGGGUCGACCUGGUUCCGACCCAGGCGGCCGGCGCCCCCAGCCUUAACUGGCCAGGACGCCCGGCUAAGUGCCCGCCAGUAUACAAAACUCAAGAAUUCAUUUUGUGAAGUCCUGAUAUAUCAUUUAAUUGAUUAAAACUUUCAACAACGGAUCUCUUGGUUCUGGCAUCGAUGAAGAACGCAGCGAAAUGCGAUAAGUAAUGUGAAUUGCAGAAUUCAGUGAAUCAUCGAAUCUUUGAACGCACAUUGCGCCCUCUGGUAUUCCGGAGGGCAUGCCUGUUCGAGCGUCAUUUCAACCCUCAAGCUCUGCUUGGUAUUGGGCAACGUCCGCUGCCGGACGUGCCUUGAAGACCUCGGCGACGGCGUCCUAGCCUCGAGCGUAGUAGUAAAAUAUCUCGCUUUGGAGUGCUGGGCGACGGCCGCCGGACAAUCGACCUUCGGUCUAUUUUUCCAAGGUUGACCUCGGAUCA
This 472-nucleotide small RNA is filed under the name Phyllosticta sp. 1 MS-2015. RNAcentral's name for it is "eukaryotic LSU rRNA". The stretch from base 139 to 292 matches the Rfam family "5.8S ribosomal RNA". The record is from RNAcentral. Lineage: Eukaryota; Fungi; Ascomycota; Dothideomycetes; Botryosphaeriales; Phyllostictaceae.